CAGCAACAGGCGUCCGCAACAAAAUUUCUUAUGAGAAUAUUCCCCGGAAUAUUCGAGUAAGAAACAAAAAGGUCGCCUGUGGUUUUAUUUCUACUAAAUCAUUGAACCAGUGGGAAUUAUGGAGUUUUCUAUAGCUUAAGGCAUAGAAUGAUGACAUGGAUGGGCCAUAUGAUUUCCGGUGCACGUGUUUCGAAUUUUGCAACAUGAAACCAACAAGAACCAUCGUUUAGUUGCUGAAAGAUGUCGGGGUUCAAACUGAACACCGACUUCUAAAUGUUCUUGCCCGGUGAAAAUGGGAAUUCUUGCCUGGUGAAAAAUGAUUUUCGCUAAAAUGAAACUCCAACCCAGGCGGAAUAGUUUUGGUGCCAAAAAAAAUUGUUUAGCUACCAUUUUGAACUGGGUUGCACUAAGUUUUCGUCCGUGGGGAGCAACCCAUGUUAUAAGCCGGGCUUAAUUUAGGCUUGGUAGUUUCAUUCAUGAAAAAAAACUCAUUUGACGCAGACAUAACUGUUCCGACAACUUACUACUGGAUCAAAAAUUCAAUGGCAACUUAUUUCAACGUUAGACAACAUAAUUCCAGAACAUACAACUACUUCCUAUCUAUGUCGCAGAAGUGGAGAGGAAACCCGGUGAGUGAUUAAUAAUAAGUUUUAUUUUAAGUAAUUAUACGAACUGGCCUGGCAUUUAAAGGUCAUGUAUUUGAUACAUAAUUUAAGGUUCCAAAGUAGCUAACUAAAAAAAAUUAAAAACAAUUAACACAAAUCAUGCUCAAAUACAAUGGUACCAGAAAAUAAAUAAUAAAACACAGUGGACUUGUACCAUAGUUAAAAAAAAAACAAAUAAAUUAAAUAAAUAAGUAAAAAUCAAUAAAUUAACUAAAAGUAAAUAUCACAGAUUUUGAUUAUUCUAAAGAAUUAAUCUAAACUUAAACUAAAUAUCACAGAUUAUACUUUUUGUAAAACUAUUAAAAUAAAUUAUGCUAAUUAAGAUAAAAAAAAAAAUAUCACAGUAUGUAAGUUAGUACCUAAGCUAUCAGUCAAUUAUAAAAAAAAUUAAAAAUAUCACAGGGCAAGUGGUUAGUAACUUAUCUCUAGAAAUCACAGAUGCUCAUACUAACUACUAUUUAUAAUCUAAUAUCACAGUUAGUUUAAAAUAAUUUAAAAGCUAAUAAAUAAAUAACAUUCAACAGUAAACAUAAAAUAACACAUAACAUAUAAAAUAAAUUAAAGGCAUGCAAUAAACAUAUAAAUUUAAUACAGCAAACAUUUUUUUAAUCUUUUAUAUCAACAUCGUUGGGAAAUUAUUUUGACACAGGGUGUUUCGAACAUGAGGUUUAUUUUGUUUUGUUUUAUUUUGUUUUUUUUUUUUCAUCUCUUAUUACAAAAUUGUCUACGAAUCGUUAAAACUUUUUCGAGUAUUUUAAACGGCAUUUUCGGAUAAAUAUAUAAAAUUUGUUUAUUGUUUGAGGUCUUUCGCGUGGAAUAUACCGAUUCGUUUACCAUUAAGAUUUUCAAGUUCGUACAUGUGAUUGCCAACUUGUUUUACUACUCGGCACUUUAUGUAUUUUGGUGACAGUUUCGCCGAAAGAUAUUUUGAUGAGUCACUUAGUACAAAAUUCCUCCGGUACACCUCUUGUCCAGGGAUAUAACGAACAUUCUUAGUUCGGACAUUAUUAUGUUCUCGCGGAUUUGUCAUUAGCCUUCAUAAUGUUUUCUCGAAUCUGAUUCCUUAUGCACUGCAAUCGAUUUUGUCGGGGAAGAGUUAACAACUCAUUGUCGUCCAUCGCGUUCAACUUUCUAGCAAGCUCAUAACUACUACCGUGCAUCAUCAUAUUAGUACCAAAUAAAGCAUAAUAAGGUGAUACACCAAUAGAGCUAUGAACUGCACUCCUUAAUGCACAAGCAAUAUCUCCAAGGUGGGAAUCCCAAUCUUUUUGAUCACUUUUGAGGUAU
Episyrphus balteatus (marmalade hoverfly) is the source of this 1952-nucleotide long non-coding RNA. RefSeq lists it as uncharacterized. Lineage: Eukaryota; Metazoa; Arthropoda; Insecta; Diptera; Syrphidae. The record is from RefSeq and is a predicted model, not a curated record. The transcript is spliced from 3 exons.